RNAcentral lists this ribosomal RNA (923 nucleotides) under Pseudoduganella buxea. RNAcentral describes it as "bacterial SSU rRNA". It matches the Rfam family "Bacterial small subunit ribosomal RNA", at positions 38 to 957 of the family's 1533-position model. Lineage: Bacteria; Pseudomonadati; Pseudomonadota; Betaproteobacteria; Burkholderiales; Oxalobacteraceae. The record is from RNAcentral.
GGCGGCAUGCUUUACACAUGCAAGUCGAACGGUAACAGGGAGCUUGCUCCGCUGACGAGUGGCGAACGGGUGAGUAAUAUAUCGGAACGUACCCAAGAGUGGGGGAUAACGUAGCGAAAGUUACGCUAAUACCGCAUACGAUCCAAGGAUGAAAGCAGGGGACCGCAAGGCCUUGUGCUCCUGGAGCGGCCGAUAUCUGAUUAGCUAGUUGGUAGGGUAAAGGCCUACCAAGGCAUCGAUCAGUAGCUGGUCUGAGAGGACGACCAGCCACACUGGAACUGAGACACGGUCCAGACUCCUACGGGAGGCAGCAGUGGGGAAUUUUGGACAAUGGGCGCAAGCCUGAUCCAGCAAUGCCGCGUGAGUGAAGAAGGCCUUCGGGUUGUAAAGCUCUUUUGUCAGGGAAGAAACGGGUGUGGCUAAUAUCUGCAUCUAAUGACGGUACCUGAAGAAUAAGCACCGGCUAACUACGUGCCAGCAGCCGCGGUAAUACGUAGGGUGCAAGCGUUAAUCGGAAUUACUGGGCGUAAAGCGUGCGCAGGCGGUUUUGUAAGUCUGUUGUGAAAUCCCCGGGCUUAACCUGGGAAUGGCAAUGGAGACUGCAAGGCUAGAGUUUGGCAGAGGGGGGUAGAAUUCCACGUGUAGCAGUGAAAUGCGUAGAGAUGUGGAGGAACACCGAUGGCGAAGGCAGCCCCCUGGGUCAAGACUGACGCUCAUGCACGAAAGCGUGGGGAGCAAACAGGAUUAGAUACCCUGGUAGUCCACGCCCUAAACGAUGUCUACUAGUUGUCGGGUCUUAAUUGACUUGGUAACGCAGCUAACGCGUGAAGUAGACCGCCUGGGGAGUACGGUCGCAAGAUUAAAACUCAAAGGAAUUGACGGGGACCCGCACAAGCGGUGGAUGAUGUGGAUUAACUCGAUGC